AUUGAACGCUGGCGGCAGGCCUAACACAUGCAAGUCGAACGGAGUGGCGGACGGGUGAGUAAUGUCUGGGAAACUGCCUGAUGGAGGGGGAUAACGUCCGGAAACGGGCGCUAAUACCGCAUACUAUCAGAUGAGCCUAGGUCGGAUUAGCUAGUUGGUGGGGUAAAGGCCUACAAAGGCGACGAUACGUAACUGGUCUGAGAGGAUGAUCAGGCACACUGGAACUGAGACCCGGUCCAGACUCCUAAGGGUGGCAGCAGUGGGGAAUAUUGGACCAUGGGCGAAAGCCUGAUCCAGCCAUGCCGCGUGUGGGAAGAAGGGCUUCGGAUUGUAAAGCACUUGAAGUUGGGAGGCGUGACCAACAGAAUAAGCACCGGCUAACUUCGUGCCAGCAGCCGCGGUAAUAC
Molecule: ribosomal RNA, 407 nt
Filed under: uncultured bacterium
Lineage: Bacteria
Description: partial 16S ribosomal RNA
Rfam family: Bacterial small subunit ribosomal RNA
Source: RNAcentral